Spinacia oleracea (spinach) is the source of this 2426-nucleotide long non-coding RNA. RefSeq lists it as uncharacterized. The record is from RefSeq and is a predicted model, not a curated record. The transcript has 7 exons. Lineage: Eukaryota; Viridiplantae; Streptophyta; Magnoliopsida; Caryophyllales; Amaranthaceae.
AAAUUUUGUUCGCUGCAAUAUUGGUUGAGUAACAAAUUCACAAACAAAUUAAUCGAGAAUCAAAACUUCAGUUCUUCGCUCAACUCCUUCUUCCCUUAGCUUUCCCAGCUGCGUCGUCCCCUCCAAAAAAAAACCUUUCCCUGCUGAGACAAAAAAGCUUUCCCUGCUUCGUCAAUCGGUGGUUUUGGUUCCUCGUGGUAGUUCUGGCCUCCUCGCCAGUCGCUGGUGGUUCUGGUCUCUUUUCUCGCCUCCUCUCCACCGUUAACUUGCUCGGCCGGUGGUUCCAAGGAAGAAGUUAGCUUGCUCGGCCGGUGGUUUCAAGAAAGAAGGUUGCUCAACCGGUGGUUCUCUGUCAAUCUCCUCGCCGCUGCAAUUGGUUGUAGGUAUGCUCGUGAAGAGAUGAGACGUGAUAAUGGAUCACUUCCAAUUUAGGACUACAACCUAGAGCUGGUGGAUCAAAGAGGACAGAAGGUUAAAAUGGAGUAUGUGUCUGAGCAAAGAAAGGCAAGAAGAAGGAAGCACAGGAUCAACAGAAUGUUGAAAGUCUUUGAUACCCAUGCCAGAUUCUGAGGAAGCACUCGCUGCUAAAGAAGGUGGCGAUAGAGGUUCCUACGACAGAAAAACCCUGACUUCCUGUGCUGACACGAAGGCCAUUGGUUCGUGUGUGGUAUUAUUAUUAUAACCUCUCAGUCAAUGGUAUUGCUGUUCAGUUAUUUAGCACCAAAAAUGAUAUAUGUCCUACUCCAAUUUGCCUUAACCUGGAUUCUAUGACUAGGUACGAAUUUUUUCUUAAGGAACCGUGAUGAAUAGUCCACCUCUUCAGAGGAUAUUUUUCUCAAUUAUGACUUUCUAAUACAUGUCAACGGUGGGAAACCAUUAAUGGAGGGGGGAAUAGAUGAUUUGAUCGGUAAGAUGGAAGUGCUUGGGAGGUAUAAUGCGUACCGAUCAACAGAGGACUACAACUAAUUUUGAACAGUUGCGACUACUCUGGUACAAUAUAUUUAUAUUUAUUAUUCAUGGAAAAUCAUUGUUUGCAGUUUGAAGCCAAGCCGGGACUCGUGCUCAGAUUUCUGAGCUAGGUAGCAGUCUUCUUGGUCAACUUGUCCUAAGUUGACAUUGUUUGCAGUAAUCAAAAGUUUAUAAAUAUAGACUAAACAGCUUUCAUAUUUGGUUGGUUACUUUUUUGUUCUAUUCUGUAUGAGUAUUGGUGCAUUCCCGUUGUGUAUUAGCUAGAAAUUUGUCCUCUGAGUAUGAACAUAUAUUGGAAAUAUGGUAGAAUAGGUAGGAAUUUAUUCACUCUUAGACCAAUUAAAGGGUUCAAAUGGUAUUUCUAAACUAGCAGAACUUUGAUGGAUGGAUGGCCUUCGAGCGAAAUGUAUACAUGUAGAGUUCACCUCUUAUAUAAUCGAAUUCAAAGAGAUUGUAUGCGUACAGUUUAAGCUAGUGUACAAUAUAUUUGUUUCCCUAGGACUGUGGACUGAUAGCUUUUGAGUUGUAGCAAAAAUACUUUAUCACUUGGGAAUGGAAAACAUUAACCAAUGCUGCCUUCAUCAUAAGUACUUUAGCAGGCUGAUAUAAAAACAAGUGCAGGCUGAUAUAAAAAAAAGUGCAGCAGCAUCACCAAUGUACCUGAAUCAGUAACACAGUAGCCACAUGAUUUGUAGAGAAUCCAACAUACCUAAAUCAGAUGGUAGCAUCACACGGCCUUUUGUUUGAUAACUGGCGCAUGAAAAGUUGCACUAGAAAACGCUUUAUUCUCCCAAAUACAGUAUACCAUCCUUGCUCAUAGGGAGAUAUAUUUUGCUCUGGAUUGAUCUGCAGCAACACCUUGACUUCAAUGUUGAUCUGGAUUGAUCUGCAGCAACACCUGAACUUCAAUGUUGUUUAUGGUAGAGUGAGCAGGCGCAAGGUCCCAAUCUCAAAGUUGUGGCAGCUAAGCUGGCUACUAAUCUUACUUGCAUUUUCCAUAAUGAGAUGCAACUAGGAUAGCCAACAAUUUGGGCUGCUGUCUGACAGGUUUUCCUCCUCACAGGAACAUUGAAUACUUGUGAGCAUGUCCAUCAGUCUCUAAAUAUUAGACCUGAGUUGGCUGCUAAUGAAACAGAGAAGAAAAAGAAAAAGAAGGAGUCUUUGCCUGUAAAUGCUUCAGGCAUACAAUGGAUGCAUCCUAGAAUGGACGGACACGCAUUCAACCCUUGCCAGACAAGCAUGCAGAGUAAAAAAGAGGCACCUUCUGCAGAGUAAAAAAGAGGCAAGCUUUCAUUCAACAUUAAGCACGUCUCUUAUUUCUUGUAGUUCCCUGGAUUACUUGUAACAUGCCUUAUUAUCUGAAAUAUUUAAUAAACUAUAAAAAUGAACUUUCCAGCAGCAAAGCCUGUAUUUUUUCCCAUGGGUUUGAGUAUCUCAUGCUGUAUAUUCUUUAUUCA